Molecule: transfer RNA, 71 nt
Filed under: Dorcus parallelipipedus (lesser stag beetle)
Lineage: Eukaryota; Metazoa; Arthropoda; Insecta; Coleoptera; Lucanidae
Also listed under: 1 other name
Description: tRNA-Lys
Source: RNAcentral
CAUUAGAUAACUGAAAGUCAGUAUUGGUCUCUUAAACCACCUCAUAGUAAAUUAACGCCUACUUCUAAUGA